This 468-nucleotide ribosomal RNA is filed under the name uncultured bacterium. RNAcentral's name for it is "partial 16S ribosomal RNA". It matches the Rfam family "Bacterial small subunit ribosomal RNA", at positions 28 to 507 of the family's 1533-position model. The record is from RNAcentral.
GACGAACGCUGGCGGCGUGCUUAACACAUGCAAGUCGAACGAAAAGGCCCGGCGUUUGUUGGUUUCUCGUUUGGCGAACGGGGGUGUAACACAUGAGUAACCUGCCCUUGACUUUGGGGUAACUUCAGGAAACUGUGGCGAAUACCGGGUAUAAUCUCCUGCUGCAUAGUGUUGGUUAGAAAGUUUCGGCUGUUGUGUAUGGACUCGCUGCUUAUCAGCUUGUUGGUGUGGUAGUGGCUUACCAAGGUUUUGACGGGUAGCCGGCCUGAGCGGGUGACCGGCGAUCUUGGGACUGAGGUAAGGCAGAGAUUCCUACGGGAGGGAGCAGUGGGGAAGCCUGAAGAAUGGGCGGAAGGUUGAUGAAGCAAGGCCGCGUGUGGGAUGACGCUCUUAGGGUUGUAAAACGAUUUUGCAUGUGACGAAGCGUGAGUGACGGGAAUGGGUACAGAAGGCCCGGCCAAACACGUG